Molecule: ribosomal RNA, 931 nt
Filed under: uncultured bacterium
Lineage: Bacteria
Description: bacterial SSU rRNA
Rfam family: Bacterial small subunit ribosomal RNA
Source: RNAcentral
AGAGUUUGAUCCUGGCUCAGGAUGAACGCUAGCUACAGGCUUAACACAUGCAAGUCGAGGGGAAACGAUAUUGGAAGCUUGCUUCCGAUAGGCGUCGACCGGCGCACGGGUGAGUAACGCGUAUCCAACCUGCCCAUCACUUGGGGAUAACCUUGCGAAAGUAAGACUAAUACCCAAUGACGUCUCUAGAAGACAUCUGAAAGAGAUUAAAGAUUUAUCGGUGAUGGAUGGGGAUGCGUCUGAUUAGCUUGUUGGCGGGGUAACGGCCCACCAAGGCGACGAUCAGUAGGGGUUCUGAGAGGAAGGUCCCCCACAUUGGAACUGAGACACGGUCCAAACUCCUACGGGAGGCAGCAGUGAGGAAUAUUGGUCAAUGGGCGAGAGCCUGAACCAGCCAAGUAGCGUGCAGGAUGACGGCCCUAUGGGUUGUAAACUGCUUUUAUAAGGGAAUAAAGUGAGCCUCGUGAGGCUUUUUGCAUGUACCUUAUGAAUAAGGACCGGCUAAUUCCGUGCCAGCAGCCGCGGUAAUACGGAAGGUCCGGGCGUUAUCCGGAUUUAUUGGGUUUAAAGGGAGCGUAGGCCGGAGAUUAAGCGUGUUGUGAAAUGUAGACGCUCAACGUCUGCACUGCAGCGCGAACUGGUUUCCUUGAGUACGCACAAAGUGGGCGGAAUUCGUGGUGUAGCGGUGAAAUGCUUAGAUAUCACGAAGAACUCCGAUUGCGAAGGCAGCUCACUGGAGCGCAACUGACGCUGAAGCUCGAAAGUGCGGGUAUCGAACAGGAUUAGAUACCCUGGUAGUCCGCACGGUAAACGAUGGAUGCCCGCUGUUGGUCUGAAUAGGUCAGCGGCCAAGCGAAAGCAUUAAGCAUCCCACCUGGGGAGUACGCCGGCAACGGUGAAACUCAAAGGAAUUGACGGAAGGGCGAAUUCC